This 235-nucleotide ribosomal RNA is filed under the name uncultured Glomeromycotina. RNAcentral describes it as "partial 18S rRNA". It matches the Rfam family "Eukaryotic small subunit ribosomal RNA", at positions 548 to 785 of the family's 1831-position model. The record is from RNAcentral. Lineage: Eukaryota; Fungi; Glomeromycota.
UUGGAGGGCAAGUCUGGUGCCAGCAGCCGCGGUAAUUCCAGCUCCAAUAGCGUAUAUUAAAGUUGUUGCAGUUAAAAAGCUCGUAGUUGAAUAUUUGGGCCAGCUAGGAGGUCUGCUCUUUGAGUUGCACUUUUAUAGCUGACCCUUUCCUUCUGGAAAACUAUGGUGCUCUUUAUUGAGUGCUAUAGCGAUCCAGGACUUUUACUUUGAAAAAAUUAGAGUGUUUAAAGCAGGC